RNAcentral lists this microRNA (25 nucleotides) under Gyrodactylus salaris (gyrodactylosis fluke). RNAcentral's name for it is "gsa-miR-9-5p". Its record names the gene gsa-miR-9-5p. The record is from miRBase by way of RNAcentral. Lineage: Eukaryota; Metazoa; Platyhelminthes; Monogenea; Gyrodactylidea; Gyrodactylidae.
UCUUUGGUUUUCUUUAGCUGUGUGA